RNAcentral lists this ribosomal RNA (154 nucleotides) under Tripos longipes. RNAcentral's name for it is "5.8S ribosomal RNA". It matches the Rfam family "5.8S ribosomal RNA". Rfam says of the family: 5.8S ribosomal RNA (5.8S rRNA) is a component of the large subunit of the eukaryotic ribosome. It is transcribed by RNA polymerase I as part of the 45S precursor that also contains 18S and 28S rRNA. Functionally, it is thought that 5.8S rRNA may be involved in ribosome translocation. Lineage: Eukaryota; Dinophyceae; Gonyaulacales; Ceratiaceae. The record is from RNAcentral.
AUUUCAGCAACAGAUGUCUUGGUUCACAUGUUGAUGAAGGGUGCAGCGAAGUGCAGUAAUCAUUGUGAAUUGCAGAAUUCCGUGAAUCAAUUGACCAUUGAACGCAGAAGUGCCCUUGGGGCAUUCCUGAGGGCAUGCUUGUGUCAGUGUUUUC